GGGCGAAGCCUGAUGGAGCACGCCGCGUGUGUGAUGAAGGGUUUCGGCUCGUAAAACACUGUUGUAAGAGAAGAAUGACAUUGAGAGUAACUGUUCAAUGUGUGACGGUAUCUUACCAGAAAGGAACGGCUAAAUACGUGCCAGCAGCCGCGGUAAUACGUAUGUUCCAAGCGUUAUCCGGAUUUAUUGGGCGUAAAGCGAGCGCAGACGGUUAUUUAAGUCUGAAGUGAAAGCCCUCAGCUCAACUGAGGAAUUGCUUUGGAAACUGGAUGACUUGAGUGCAGUAGAGGAAAGUGGAACUCCAUGUGUAGCGGUGAAAUGCGUAGAUAUAUGGAAGAACACCAGUGGCGAAGGCGGCUUUCUGGACUGUAACUGACGUUGAGGCUCGAAAGUGUGGGUAGCAAACAGGAUUAAUACCCUGGUAGUCCCACCGUAAACGAUGAGUGCUAGGUGUUUGAGGGUUUCCGCCCUUAAGUGCCGCAGCUAACGCAUUAAGCACUCCGCCUGGGGAGUACGACCGCAAGGUUGAA
Molecule: ribosomal RNA, 530 nt
Filed under: Weissella confusa
Lineage: Bacteria; Bacillati; Bacillota; Bacilli; Lactobacillales; Lactobacillaceae
Description: bacterial SSU rRNA
Rfam family: Bacterial small subunit ribosomal RNA
Source: RNAcentral